AGGCCCCGGGUUAAAUCGGGGACGACGGUAGGGUUGGUAAUAAGGGUGAAGUCGUAACAAGGCAUCCGUAGCGGAAGCUGUGGAUGAAUCACCUCCUUU
RNAcentral lists this ribosomal RNA (99 nucleotides) under Candidatus Moraniibacteriota bacterium. RNAcentral's name for it is "partial 16S ribosomal RNA". It matches the Rfam family "Bacterial small subunit ribosomal RNA", at positions 1425 to 1533 of the family's 1533-position model. Lineage: Bacteria; Candidatus Moraniibacteriota. The record is from RNAcentral.